This 436-nucleotide ribosomal RNA is filed under the name uncultured bacterium. Its description in RNAcentral is "bacterial SSU rRNA". It matches the Rfam family "Bacterial small subunit ribosomal RNA", at positions 958 to 1397 of the family's 1533-position model. The record is from RNAcentral.
AACGCGAAGAACCUUACCGGGGCUUGACAUCGGACGCUCAUCUAUGAAAGUAGGUUUCCCCGCAAGGGGACGUCCAGACAGGUGCUGCAUGGCUGUCGUCAGCUCGUGCCGUGAGGUGUUGGGUUAAGUCCCGCAACGAGCGCAACCCUUGUCGUGUGUUGGUCAGCAAUGAUCUCUCACACGAGACCGCCGAUGAGAAGUCGGAGGAAGGUGGGGAUGACGUCAAGUCAGCAUGGCCCUUACGUCCCGGGCUACACACGUGCUACAAUGGGCAGGACAACGAGCUGCAAGCUAGUGAUAGUAAGCCAAUCUCUUAAACCUGUCCCCAGUUCGGAUUGAAGGCUGCAACUCGCCUUCAUGAAGUCGGAAUCGCUAGUAACCGCAGAUCAGCUACGCUGCGGUGAAUACGUUCCCGGGCCUUGUACACACCGGCUAC